Molecule: ribosomal RNA, 591 nt
Filed under: Belvosia sp. Woodley04A
Lineage: Eukaryota; Metazoa; Arthropoda; Insecta; Diptera; Tachinidae
Description: partial ribosomal RNA
Rfam family: Eukaryotic small subunit ribosomal RNA (bases 1-119)
Source: RNAcentral
GAUCACUGUAACGCCCUGAGUGUUGCGGAUGUUUCGCAGAAGUUGACCGAACUUGAUUAUUUAGAGGAAGUAAAAGUCGUAACAAGGUUUCCGUAGGUGAACCUGCGGAAGGAUCAUUAAAGUUCUCCUUUCAAGUUAUAAACAAAAACACAAUAUAUAAAAUACUUAUAUUGUAAAAUUAUGGCAAAUGCCAAAAAGAAACAAAAUAACAAUAAUAAAAAUGUUUAUUAUUGUAUCGCCUCCUAGGCAAAAAAGUAUAGUAUAAAGUGUUUGUGUGUGUUACACAUUACACAAAAAUUGACUUAUUUAUAUAAAAUUUGUAAAAACUGAAAUUGUGUGGACGUUAUACAAAAUUAAUUUGUAUAGAAAAUGUCUAAAAAUUUGAAAUACAUAAAAUUAUAGUUGUACUUGUAUAAAAUUGAAAAGUAAUUUUUUAUAUAAGUCAAUCAUUGUUCGUUUUUUAAGAACUUGAGACAUUCGCAACAAAAAUUUUAUGUUUUAGUUAUAAAAGAGAAGAAUAAUAAGCAAAAAUUAUUGAAGGAAUUGAUAUAUGCCAAUUUGAAACUUUUUGGUGUAUUUUUGAUUUCUUUC